RNAcentral lists this ribosomal RNA (301 nucleotides) under uncultured bacterium. RNAcentral describes it as "partial 16S ribosomal RNA". It matches the Rfam family "Bacterial small subunit ribosomal RNA", at positions 509 to 807 of the family's 1533-position model. The record is from RNAcentral.
CAGUAGCCGCGGGAAUACAGAGGGUGCGAGCGUUAAUCGGAUUUACUGGGCGUAAAGCGUGCGUAGGCGGCUUCUUAAGUCGGAUGUGAAAUCCCUGAGCUUAACUUAGGAAUUGCAUUCGAUACUGGGAAGCUAGAGUAUGGGAGAGGAUGGUAGAAUUCCAGGUGUAGCGGUGAAAUGCGUAGAGAUCUGGAGGAAUACCGAUGGCAAAGGCAGCCAUCUGGCCUAAUACUGACGCUGAGGUACGAAAGCGUGGGGAGCAAACAGGAUUAGAUACCCCCGUAGUCCCUGUCUCUUAUAC